RNAcentral lists this ribosomal RNA (253 nucleotides) under uncultured bacterium. RNAcentral's name for it is "partial 16S ribosomal RNA". It matches the Rfam family "Bacterial small subunit ribosomal RNA", at positions 524 to 776 of the family's 1533-position model. The record is from RNAcentral.
UACGUAGGUUGCGAGCGUUAAUCGGAAUUACUGGGCGUAAAGCGUGCGCAGGCGGUGAUGUAAGACAGAUGUGAAAUCCCCGGGCUCAACCUGGGAACUGCAUUUGUGACUGCAUCGCUGGAGUGCGGCAGAGGGGGAUGGAAUUCCGCGUGUAGCAGUGAAAUGCGUAGAUAUGCGGAGGAACACCGAUGGCGAAGGCAAUCCCCUGGGCCUGCACUGACGCUCAUGCACGAAAGCGUGGGGAGCAAACAGG